Molecule: long non-coding RNA, 1307 nt
Filed under: Androctonus crassicauda
Lineage: Eukaryota; Metazoa; Arthropoda; Arachnida; Scorpiones; Buthidae
Source: RNAcentral
UACUAAUGUAAAACAACAAAAAUAUAAUAAAUAUACAGGGUAUAUAUAAAAGAAUGCCAAAGUUUCAAUAUGCAAUAACUUUAUUUCAAAUCUAAAUAAGAACAUACAGUUUAAUGAUUGAUUACACUAACAGUCAUUUUAGUAGUUUUUUAGAGAUACUGAAUAUGGACAUCUUUUGUGACACUAUACAUGUCAUGCCUAUAAAUCAAAUUCUUCCCAUAUGUGUGAAAUCAUUGCACUGUUCACUGAUACCAUGGUUGCUGAUAUGCACUCUUAAUUUAUCCAGCAUCUGUGGCAUGGGAAGAAUAUACACAUGAUCUUUCAUAAAUAUCCAUAGGAAAGGGAAAAGAUUGGGUAGCCUUGCAAGCCACAGAAUAAGACCAGCUAUCCCAAUUCACUAUCCUAGCUCUUUUCUAUCAAGAAAAUGAUGAACUUUGUUGUGAAAGUGAGGAGAUGAAACUUGAACUCUCUUUUCCUAAAGUCCUGCUUGAGUUGAGUCUACAGCUAGUAGUUCAACAAAUCCAGAUACACAUUGGCAGUAAUGGUUUGCUUGAUUAAGAAUAAUGCAUGUAAACAUUACAUAAAAACACAUAAAAACAUGAUCAAUUUCAGUGAGUCACAUUGCAGUUCAAUUAAGUUAUGUGGGUUGGUUCCCCUGAUUCAUAAAUUAUGUGUGCUCACUUUUCCAGUGGAAUAGAAUAUUGCUUCAUCACUAAAGAUGAGCUUAUCAAUUAAUGUUUCAUCCUUUUCCAUCUGUUCUUGAAAAUCUUUUGAAGGCAAGAAAUGGAGUAUACUUAUUGAGCAUUUGUAAUGCAUGUAAAAAAAAAACGUUGAAAGUUUUCUUAUUCAAUAAACAGAAAAUCAUCUUUCUAUUUCAAAUAUACUACAUGUGGCAAUUUUUAAAGCCCCAACAUUCUUUUUGAAUAGCACUGUAUAAUCCCUAUACAUAUUUGUAGUUCAAAUCAUUAUAAAUAGAUGUGAAUAAGACUGAUCUCCCACAUAGUUUUGAACAAAACAGAAUUGCAGUAUUUUCGAGAGGAGUUGUUUUCCAAUUCUUUAACAAAAUAUAAAACUAUAUUAUUGAUUGCAUAGAAAAAUUUCAUGAUUCCAUCAUGUUCUGUAUGCCCUCUUAACUUUUGGCAAUAAAUCAAUAGUCGAACCAGUCUUUGAUUGAAAAAUUUUAUAAAACAGAUACAAUUGAUCCAAAGAUGGCUUAGGAAAAAGAUUGCUGGCAUUCAUAUAUCUGAUGAUAUAAAAAAGUUAAAUGAAAUUUUUUUAUAUUUACAUACAUACAUUUCUAGUCAUUC